Molecule: long non-coding RNA, 1365 nt
Organism: Humulus lupulus (European hop)
Lineage: Eukaryota; Viridiplantae; Streptophyta; Magnoliopsida; Rosales; Cannabaceae
Exons: 2
Source: RefSeq, a predicted model, not a curated record
CUAAAAUUGUUCCAAAUGAUUUUAUCUAUUUUCUCCUUUAAUCUAAUUUUUUUAUUCAUUUUAUAGUUUAUAAUAAUAUAGUAAUUAAAAAAAUCUAAGUAGAAUUACAUGUCUAUCUAUAUCUAUAUCUAUAUAUUAUACAAAGAAGAGCUUCAAGGAGAUGAAGUGACACUCUAAAAUUGCUCUAAAACACUCUAUCUAUUUUCUCUUUUAAUCUAAUAUUUUAUUCAUUUUAUAGUUUAUAUUAAUAUAGUAAUUAAAAAAAUGUAAGUAAUUACAUAUUUUUUAAAUUUAAAUAAGAUAUUUACAAGAUUUAUUAUUUACUCUAUCAAUUUUACACGUUUAAAAAACUAAAAUUGCUCCAAAGGACUUUAUCUAUUUUCUCAUUUACUCUAAUUUUUUUAUUCAUUUUAUAGCUUAUAAUAAUAUCGUAAUUUAAAAAAAAUGUAAGUAGUUACAUGUCUAUCUAUAUAUAUAUAUAUAUCUAUAUAUUAUAUAAAUGAGAGCUUUAAGGAGAUGAUGUGACACUCUAACAUUGCUCUAAAAUUGCUCCCACCAUGUGCAUCCCGGUUAAUGCCCAAGAUCUGGAGAAAAUCCCAGACACCUUCCGGGGGACGGUCUAUGAGAUCGCGAGCUAUACGGUGGAGCAUUAUUACAAGGCCAAUCCGAAGGACUUGAGGGAGAUCGAGGCGAGGAGCCCCGAGAGUGUCAUAGAGUCCGCGCUGGGGAUGAACCUCACGGCGGCUUUGGCCCUACACCGCAGUGUAGCUCGGUCCAGGGCCAGGAAUGACGAGCUCCAAACUGCUCAGGUCACUCUCGCAUCUGCUCAACAACAAGAGAAAAGUGCCAAGGCUGCCUUGACGGCUGUCCAAGAAGGCGAGCAGGCUGCGUAGGCUUCCUUGGCCACUGCGAAGGCUGAGCUCUCGGAGGCUAGGGCUAAGCAGCUGGAGGCCGAGGCCGCCAUCGAGGGAGAGAAGGUGUCCUCCAGCUCCUCCAUGGAGGCCAUGCUCUACCACUGCUGGGCCUUCAACCAGGACGGCGACUUCUCUUUCUUGGCCCUGAGGUGUGGGAGACUUAUCUCGAGAAGUUUAAGGCCCGUCUUCAACAGGAGCCACCUUCUGAGACUGGGGAGACCUCUGCUGCCGGCGAGCAAGAAACUGAGGGGGUGACCUCUUCGGGGCGUCCUGGGGAGUCCUAGUUUUAUUAUUUUAAAGAACCUCUUCCUCUUUUUUUUUUCUUUUUUCUUUUGUAACCUGCCAUUUUUGGCUUGACACGAGGUUAUUUUCCUCGAGACCAUUCGUCUGUACUUUUAAACAUCUAUUUUUCACUUAGUCCUUAAUUUCAAUUAUAUAUAUAUUUUUUAUA